This 762-nucleotide ribosomal RNA is filed under the name uncultured Peptostreptococcus sp. Its description in RNAcentral is "bacterial SSU rRNA". It matches the Rfam family "Bacterial small subunit ribosomal RNA", at positions 28 to 776 of the family's 1533-position model. The record is from RNAcentral. Lineage: Bacteria; Bacillati; Bacillota; Clostridia; Peptostreptococcales; Peptostreptococcaceae.
GAUGAACGCUGGCGGUGUGCCUAACACAUGCAAGUCGAGCGAGGGUUUGCUCAGUAUUGAGUAUUCUAAGUCUAGAAUGUUCAAUUCUGAGCAAAACCAAGCGGCGGACGGGUGAGUAACGCGUGGGUAACCUGCCCUAUACACAUGGAUAACAUACUGAAAAGUUUACUAAUACAUGAUAAUAUAUAUUUGCGGCAUCGCAGAUAUAUCAAAGUGUUAGCGGUAUAGGAUGGACCCGCGUCUGAUUAGCUAGUUGGUGAGAUAACUGCCCACCAAGGCGACGAUCAGUAGCCGACCUGAGAGGGUGAUCGGCCACAUUGGAACUGAGACACGGUCCAAACUCCUACGGGAGGCAGCAGUGGGGAAUAUUGCACAAUGGGCGAAAGCCUGAUGCAGCAACGCCGCGUGAACGAUGAAGGUCUUCGGAUCGUAAAGUUCUGUUGCAGGGGAAGAUAAUGACGGUACCCUGUGAGGAAGCCCCGGCUAACUACGUGCCAGCAGCCGCGGUAAUACGUAGGGGGCUAGCGUUAUCCGGAUUUACUGGGCGUAAAGGGUGCGUAGGUGGUCCUUCAAGUCGGUGGUUAAAGGCUACGGCUCAACCGUAGUAAGCCGCCGAAACUGGAGGACUUGAGUGCAGGAGAGGAAAGUGGAAUUCCCAGUGUAGCGGUGAAAUGCGUAGAUAUUGGGAGGAACACCAGUAGCGAAGGCGGCUUUCUGGACUGCAACUGACACUGAGGCACGAAAGCGUGGGUAGCAAACAGG